CAUGAAUUAAAAUAUAGUAAAUUUUAAUUCAUGGGUAUACCUAUAACUUACAGUCGUAAUCAAAAAUAAUUCAAUUUCUUAUCAAUUAAAGAUAAUAAACAAAGUGUUAGAAAGGUAAAAUACAUCAUGAUAAAAUUAAUAAAUUAUUUUCAUAGAACUAUAAAUAUAUAUUAUUAUUAUUAUUAUUUUAUUAUCCUAUAGUUUUACAAAAAUGUUUAUUUUUUUUUCUGUGGACAACUUUUCUACCAGAUGACCUACUUCGAGUUUUACGUGUAGCACCUUUUCUGGAAGGAAAUUGGUGUGAAGAGCUACUUUAGUGAGGUCGUUUUUCGAUUUUCUCCGGAGUUUUCUCAGAAAAUGUGAAAAAUCGGAAAAAAAACGACUUUUACUCAUCAACUAGAUACCAAGCAUAGAGUUGCUACUAGAAAAAGUAUACUGGCGCACCAAAGUUUAGUGACUCCCGCGAGGCAUGAAUCCGCUUGGUUGUAGAUUGCAAGGCGAUAGCACUCGUAUGACAAUAUGAGACGAUGUUGAAUUAAGAAAUAGAUACCACACAUUUAGUAUCAUAUCAAUAACAUAUAAAACUGCGGCGCGUAAUUAAGUAAUAACUGUUGAAAGCCUAUCAAUAAUGUUUGUUCAUCUUGUAAGAAAGUAGCUUAUUGUCCUAAUGUAGAACUAGGUGAUUGCAAAUUACAGCCAUUAAACUUAUCUUCAAGAAUAUCAGCUCUCUUUUCCCUCAACAUCUUUUGGCAAAGUUUAAGUGACAUCCGGUUAAUAAAAUCAACCACUUUCUGUCCAAAAGCCUCAACUAGGUACAGCUAUAAUAAUAAUAUGAACUGCGGCUCUAUCAAUGACUUUAUCGAUUAGCUGAACCGAUUUUAUAAGUAUUUUGAAGUGUAAUAAUUGGAAAAACAAAUACAUAAAAGAUUAUAUUUAACGUCAAUAAAUUAUACAAACACUACUUGUAUCAUAUUUAUUAAAUUGUAUUA
Non-coding RNA from Cinara cedri, 989 nucleotides. Lineage: Eukaryota; Metazoa; Arthropoda; Insecta; Hemiptera; Aphididae. The record is from the annotation of a GenBank genome assembly.